GACGAACGCUGGCGGCGUGCCUAAUACAUGCAAGUAGAACGCUGAAGGAGGAGCUUGCUCUUCUGGAUGAGUUGCGAACGGGUGAGUAACGCGUAGGUAACCUGCCUGGUAGCGGGGGAUAACUAUUGGAAACGAUAGCUAAUACCGCAUAACAGUAGAUGUUGCAUGACAUUUACUUAAAAGGUGCAAUUGCAUCACUACCAGAUGGACCUGCGUUGUAUUAGCUAGUUGGUGGGGUAACGGCUCACCAAGGCGACGAUACAUAGCCGACCUGAGAGGGUGGUCGGCCACACUGGGACUGAGACACGGCCCAGACUCCUACGGGAGGCAGCAGUAGGGAAUCUUCGGCAAUGGACGGAAGUCUGACCGAGCAACGCCGCGUGAGUGAAGAAGGUUUUCGGAUCGUAAAGCUCUGUUGUAAGAGAAGAACGAGUGUGAGAGUGGAAAGUUCACACUGUGACGGUAUCUUACCAGAAAGGGACGGCUAACUACGCG
RNAcentral lists this ribosomal RNA (495 nucleotides) under uncultured bacterium. Its description in RNAcentral is "partial 16S ribosomal RNA". It matches the Rfam family "Bacterial small subunit ribosomal RNA", at positions 28 to 507 of the family's 1533-position model. The record is from RNAcentral.